CACGUAGGGGGCAAGCGUUGUCCGGAUUUAUUGGGCGUAAAGAGCUCGUAGGCGGUUUCGUAAGUCGGAUGUGAAAACUCCAGGCUCAACUUGGAGACGCCAUUCGAUACUGCGAUGACUUGAGUCCGGUAGGGGAGUGUGGAAUUCCUGGUGUAGCGGUGAAAUGCGCAGAUAUCAGGAGGAACACCGGCGGCGAAGGCGGCACUCUGGGCCGGCACUGACGCUGAGGGGCGAAAGCGUGGGUAGCAAACAGG
RNAcentral lists this ribosomal RNA (254 nucleotides) under uncultured bacterium. RNAcentral describes it as "partial 16S ribosomal RNA". It matches the Rfam family "Bacterial small subunit ribosomal RNA", at positions 524 to 776 of the family's 1533-position model. The record is from RNAcentral.